GAUGAACGCUGGCGGCGUGCCUAAUACAUGCAAGUCGAGCGAACAGAUGAUGAGCUUGCUCCUCUGACGUUAGCGGCGGACGUGUGAGUAACACGUGUAUAACCUACCUAUAAGACUGGGAUAACUUCGGGAAACCGGAGCUAAUACCGGAUAAUAUAUUGCACCGCAUGGUUCAAUAGUGAAAGUCGGUUUUGCUGUCACUUAUAGAUGGAUCCGCGCCGCAUUAGCUAGUUGGUAAGGUAACGGCUUACCAAGGCGACGAUGCGUAGCCGACCUGAGAGGGUGAUAGGCCACACUGGAACUGAGACACGGUCCAGACGCCUACGGGAGGCAGCAGUAGGGAAUCGGCCGCAAUGGGCGAGAGCAUGACGGAGCAACGCCGCGUGAGUGAUGAAGGUCUUCGGAUCGUAAAACUCUGUUAUGAGGGAAGAACAAAUGUGUAAGUAACUAUGCACGUCUUGACGGUACCUAAUCAGAAAGCCACGGCUAACUACGUG
RNAcentral lists this ribosomal RNA (497 nucleotides) under uncultured bacterium. RNAcentral describes it as "partial 16S ribosomal RNA". It matches the Rfam family "Bacterial small subunit ribosomal RNA", at positions 28 to 507 of the family's 1533-position model. The record is from RNAcentral.